AGUAUUUAUCGGAGUAAUAUACUAGCAAAUAAUAAACAAACAUAAGCUUGAAAAAUAAUAUAAUGUUAGUCAAAAUGGAAUAAUAAACUAGCAAAUAAUACGAUAACAUCAAGAAUGAAGAACCAUCUACGCAUCUACAUAAUUAUUGUUUAAUCAUGAGAUUCAUAAACUAACUUACUAAGUUGAUAUUUAGUAGUUAUGAGCCAUUAUCAAUAUCCAUAAACAAACAUAAGCUAAUCACCAAUCAACCAAGUUCCAAAAGCAACAAAUAGUUCAUAAUUUGUAAACAUUCAAAGAGCAAAUCCAAAAGAAAGUAAAAGCUCCCAAAUCCUACUUAUCGGCCGAUAAAACCGAUAUUUAGAGCCUACUUAUCGGCUGAUAAGUACAUUUAUCGUCGAUAACUCGCGAUAAACCUCAAAAAACGAUAACCAAAUAAAAAUCCUACUUAUCCUAGCGGAAAGCUCCCAAAUCCGAUAACUCGGCGAUAAUAUCGGAUUAUCGGCCGAUAUUUAAAACCAUGAUUAUAUAUGCACAUCAUCUGAUAUGACACUUCGAUAUUUUCUGAAAAUCCCCAAUAUUUCCUCGAUAUCUACAAUCCAAUAUGAAUUUUGGUUGUUGAUAUUUCCCUGAUAUUAGAUAUUUAAAACCUUGGGCAUAAGUGCUUGGUUGCUGUCUCUUGUGUUCUCACUGAGAAUUUUUUUAGUUAAACACUUCCAGAAGAUCUUUGCUGUGUAUAAACUUUUCAUGCUUUUGGUAUUAGUUGUGCACUCACUGCAAUCUUGUAACAGUAAGUUCAUGCUCUGUACUGUUGAAGGUCUUCACACCUACAUGAACACAAUCAUACACACAUUACUUUUUGUAUGUCUGUGAUUUCCUGAUGAUAACGUAUCACGCUUUUCUCAUUACUUUACUUGGUGAUGUCAUUUUUGUUAUACUUUGCAGGAAAUGGGGUUGUUGGAAGUUAAACAUGGGCUUCUUCAGAUCUGCAGAAACUUUAGACUUUCUUCAUAACAAUGCAUGUCUCAUACUCAUUCAUUGAGCUAUAGCUCCUGAAGUUAUAUUUUUUUAUCCAAUAAACAUGCUUCGCCAGUUUUACAUGGGUUCCUUGACUAUGUUGAGUACUUGUUCCUAUAGCCUGGUGACAGUACACACAUUUUGUCCUUUUCCUCUUCUUAAUUCUGUUUGACAAGUUUUGUUGUUUUUACAUGGUUGUUUGAGGGCUAGUUCACUGUUCUACAUUGAAGUUCGUCAUUCUUAAAAUCUUUGAGAUGCAAGUUUUUAACAGAAUAUGCACAUUCUCAUGUAGUCAUAUUCAAUUAUCAAGUCAGCAUAAUAUAUUAAUGGUUAAGAGGAUUCCAUGGAUCAUCAAUUUGAAUUAUCAAUAUAAAUAACUGUAACAUAAAGUGGUGGAGCAACUAUCCCGAGUUAUAAUGUUAUUGGAGCAUGAAUCGUUUACGAGCUUAACCCAAAUGCUUCCUGUAGUGGCCUUGGCCUUGGAUCUGUCAGUUAAUUUAGAUGCUAUACAUUUUGCCUAGGUUUUGAUUGAGCCUUAGGUCAGAUCUAGAUUAGGUACCUUCAGGGUUUGUGCCAAGGUAAACUACAAGCUUACUUUUAUUCUUUUCUUUUAGAUUUUUGAAGAUUAUAUCUGAGUUUUUUUUUUUUUUUUUGGCAAUUGCACUAUCGACCAACCCAUUUAUGUUUUCUGAUCUUGAAAGCAGUCUGAAGUAGGAUAUUUCAUCUUUGACCUAUUAAUUGUGUACCCCUUAUAAUGUUAGGCAGUAUUUAGGACUUCUACUGGAGCUUGGAAGCUAGGCGGUUUCGGAUUUGCUACCUCUGUUGACCAGGUAUCAACUGGUUCAACUUCCAUGCAACCAUUUAAUUAUCCAGUAAGUAUUUUCAUGUCUCACUUAUUAUUUCUUGUGCUCUAUAAUUUUGCUUCAAAAUUGCACAACUAGACAUGUUGGAAAAGUCCUGACGUGAUAGAAGUAAACUCACACUCUUGGUAAUGCUGAGGACUUGAACACCUAACUGUUGGCGGCAAAAAAGAGAAGGAAAAAAGAAGAUAAAAAAAAUCAAAUGGUUAAUGAUUACUUUGUAUCUUUCCAGGAGUAUGAUGUUGAGGAUGCUAUUUUACCCCUUCAGCCAUCACUAAAUUACACUGCACCUGAACUGGUACGAAAUAAAGAACUCGCUGCUGGAUGUUCUUCUGACAUAUUUAGUUUUGGUUGUUUCACGUACUAUCUAAUCACUCGCAAGCCCCUUCUGGAUUGUCAUAACAAUGUAAAGAUGGUAAGUUUCAAUUCUUUAUACUAUCUGAAUAGUACUAUACUUUGUACGGAGAUGAUAGCCUGUGAUAUUAUUGUUCAUACAUACAUGAUCUCUAUAAUUUGCUCUGAUUCAUAUGUUUCAUCUUUAAAGGCUUUUACCUAUACAUAAGCAUCUGAUUGCAGGCAGAACUUGCGUGUAAUGUUUUCUUUGUCAUGGAAUCUGUGGAUAGUUGCUUCGGGAAAUACAUUCACUAUAGUGUGCUUUUUUUCAAUGUUAAUAACCUGUAACUUUCAUAUUUAAUAGGUACGUUUUUGUAAUGGAUGGAUUACUUAGUUAUCAAUGAGUAUAUGAAUAGAUUGACAUACUUGUCUAGUGAGGCUUUCUCUAUGAUUCCUUCAGAGUUGGUUGGAGAUUUGCAAAGAAUGUCAUCCCUGGAUGAGGCUUCUAGACCAAGUGCUUUGGAUAUCACAGGCUAGUAAUCAGGACCUUAUUUCACAAGUCCCGCCAUUGCCUGUUCAAGCUUAUGAUGAUAUUGAUGCUCGUAUGCAAGAUGAGGUUUCUCAAAGAACCGUCACCCUUGCAAGACAACUUGACAUGCAGACUUCAACCAGGUGCAAGUGAAUGCUCUCUGCUGCUUAGCUGAUUUGGUUCCAUCACUCGACAAACAUGCUAUAUUGGACAUCUUGCAAACAUUGCAGCGUCAUACUGCUGUCGACCGCUCUGCACCUGCUCUUAUGUGCCAGUGCCCCCUGGGAGUUUCAAAUUCAAUUUUUAAACAGUUCUUCAGUGUGGCAUAUAAUUUGCUGCAGAGCAAGUCCUUCCCCUCCUUUGCCCUCUGCUUACUGCACAGCAACUAACCAUUCAGCAAUUCUCAAAGUAAAUGCUUUUUGUGAGGGACAUGUUGAGAAAGAUUGAAGAUAGAAGGAGGCUUGACCGUUUCUGAUGCCAGUCCUCCUAUAGUUAAGAGUCUUGACUUCAAUGUGUAAUGGGCUUUAAUCUGAACCAAAUCAGAAGGCAACCAUACCUGUUUCUUCAUCAAAGAACAGCACAACAUGGGAUGAAGAUUGGGGUUCUCAAUAACCGAAGUGACAACUACCCCAUCUGUUCCUUUGGAACCCAAUCCACAACCCAUUCGACCAAUGCCAAUUUCACAGCCUUCUACAGUUACUGCUUCAUCAACAGUUAGCCACCAACCUUCAUCAUUUACACCAGUCAACGUUGAGUGGCCGCCUCCAAUUUCUUCCACUACUUUCCUCCCACUUGAAUACUAAUGAGAAAGAGACGCAGAAUUCUGGGGGCCUUUCUGAAGGUAGUUUUGACGAUUUAGAUCCUUUUGCUAAUUGGCCUCCAAAACCUUGUAUUUCAGCCAGCAGCACGCAUGGCUUAGGCUUUGUAAGCAACAAUGAUCCAAAUGUAACUAUCAAAUUCAUACGAAGGUAGCUCAGUUUCUGGUACCAACAAAGCAACUGGUGCUAAUUUAAGACAUU
Molecule: RNA transcript, 3755 nt
Organism: Asparagus officinalis (garden asparagus)
Lineage: Eukaryota; Viridiplantae; Streptophyta; Magnoliopsida; Asparagales; Asparagaceae
Gene name: protein kinase domain-containing protein ppk32-like
Exons: 6
Source: RefSeq, a predicted model, not a curated record